ACUGACCUUAAAAAAAAUAAGACAUGAGAGUGGAAUAAUGGACACUGUACCAACAAAAUACUGCAGCAAUUUUGUAAAUUCGAUGAAUUUAAAAAGGGUUGUAAAGUACUUUCAGAGGGGAAGAAAAAAUGACGGUACGAACAGAAGGAGAGUCGGCUACAUACGUGCCAGCAGCCGCUUUAAUACGUGUGUAACUAGCCUCCUCCGGAUUUAUUGGGCAAAAGAGUGUCUAUGUGGUUUUAUACGUCUGAUGCGUAAAUACACGGUUCCACUAUGUACUGCGUUUGAAACUGUGUAAUUAUAGUUCUGGAUAGGUUAGCGCAACUGCAAGCGAAGUGGGGAACAUGGUCGAUAUUUGUAGGAAUCCCGUUGGGAAAACCAACUUACUGGUCAAGUUUUUUCUUUAC
RNAcentral lists this ribosomal RNA (407 nucleotides) under uncultured Fusobacteriales bacterium. RNAcentral's name for it is "partial 16S ribosomal RNA". It matches the Rfam family "Bacterial small subunit ribosomal RNA", at positions 330 to 749 of the family's 1533-position model. Lineage: Bacteria; Fusobacteriati; Fusobacteriota; Fusobacteriia; Fusobacteriales. The record is from RNAcentral.